UACGUAGGUGGCAAGCGUUGUCCGGAAUUAUUGGGCGUAAAGCGCGCGCAGGUGGUUUCUUAAGUCUGAUGUGAAAGCCCACGGCUCAACCGUGGAGGGUCAUUGGAAACUGGGGAACUUGAGUGCAGGAGAGAAGAGUGGAAUUCCACGUGUAGCGGUGAAAUGCGUAGAGAUGUGGAGGAACACCAGUGGCGAGGCGGCUUUCUGGUCUGUAACUGACGCUGAGGCGCGAAAGCGUGGGGAGCAAACAGG
This 252-nucleotide ribosomal RNA is filed under the name uncultured bacterium. RNAcentral describes it as "partial 16S ribosomal RNA". It matches the Rfam family "Bacterial small subunit ribosomal RNA", at positions 524 to 776 of the family's 1533-position model. The record is from RNAcentral.